CAUCCAACUAACGAGGCAGAGAUGCGUCAGGUGCCGUUCGGGGAAAAGUUGAGACAGGUGGUGCAUGGUUGUCGUCAGCUCGUGUCGUGAGAUGUUGGGUAAGUCCCGCAACGAGCGCAACCCUUAUUGUCAGUUGCUACGCAAGAGCACUCUGGCGAGACUGCCGUUGACGAAACGGAGGAAGGUGGGGACGACGUCAAAUCAUCAUGCCCCUUAUGUCCUGGGCUACACACGUAAUACAAUGGCGAUCAACAAAGGGAAGCGAAGCCGCGAGGCAGAGCAAAUCCCCAAAAGUCGUCUCAGUUCGGAUUGCAGGCUGCAACUCGCCUGUAUGAAGUCGGAAUUGCUAGUAAUCGUGGAUCAGCAUGCCACGGUGAAUACGUUCCCGGGCCUUGUACACACCGCCCGUCACACCAUGAGAGCCGGGAACACCCGAAGUCCGUAGUCUAACCGCAAGGGGGACGCGGCCGAAGGUGGGUUGGUAAUGGGGGAAGUCGUAACAAGGUAACCUA
This 512-nucleotide ribosomal RNA is filed under the name uncultured bacterium. RNAcentral's name for it is "bacterial SSU rRNA". It matches the Rfam family "Bacterial small subunit ribosomal RNA", at positions 985 to 1503 of the family's 1533-position model. The record is from RNAcentral.